AAGUAGGUGAAAUCCUAUUUAUAGAAGAUUAACGAUGACACAUCGAAACACACGGUCGAACCACGCAUCACGAAAUCGUAGUCGCGAUUCAUUCACGAAACCGUACGAAUCCGCGUGGGUCUUCGGGUGAAAGCCGAACAGACCCGGGUCUCGCCGAUCACUGUUUACACUCGCUGUCUUAUCAAACACGCGAGAAAGUCACACCGUUUACCAGAAACUUCUAUUGAAACAAGUUUUCGCCUCUCUGUGUUACGAGCGAGGUUAAAAACAUGUGAGCCAAUUUCUCGUCAACACGGAAAUACAACCGGAAAUACCAUGAGCAGCAAGAAAGGCUUGAUUAGUGGCGACGAGUAACGAGACCAGCACGAACAAAGACCACGCGAGGACAAUCAUCCUGGAUCGUAGUGAUUACUGAGAAGUAUUGAUAGCGAGUUGAUCAACUUGCCAAAUUUCGGAUCACCCAGACUUCCACUACGGUUAUGAUUUCGCGCACCUGACCGGUAUACACGCGUGUAUAUAUCCGUAAUAAUUUGAUUGAUAUUUCAAAUUAGUUUUCUUCUUAAAUGUAUAUAUAUAUAUGUAUAUAUAUAAAUAUAUAAAUAUAUAUAUUCUUAUAUAUGUUUAUAUAUGUAUUUAUGUAGAUAUGUAUAUAUCUGUAUAUCCGUAGGUAUGUGUAUAUACGUGUGUCGAAAGUCUUAAUUCGGCGUCGCUAGUUCUCGAACACGUUUCUCUCGAUGAACCGGGCCGUCGGGCUCAGACUCGGCUUUACCGACUUCUCCGACCAGUUAGCCAGCAGUGAACUGUUCGUGUUCCUGCCUUGGGCAUCGUAAUAUACAUAAAGUCGCCAGAUAAGCCGCAGCUGACACCCCACCACGAACCCGUCGUGGGACGGUCCGUCUUCUCGCUCGCUCACUCUCGAUGGAACAGCUUGAAAUCCUCUUCUUCUCGAAACCGCCCCGCCGCUCGUUCAUUCCCUCUCUCUAUUGCUCUUUCGCCUUUUCUGUACCACAUCCCUGUACACGUGUUCCCGCGAUGCGGAUUGCAGUUCGCAAACAUCAGCCGACCUGUGCAAAAACUACCGUUGCAAACGGGUUUCUUGACUGUUUAGACUUAACUCCGAUAAAAGUUUUUGAUAUUUUGAUAUAAGAAACGUGAUUUAAAGACGUGACUUUAUUAUUUUCUUUUUUGUUUUAGGUAAUAACAAGAACAAUAAUGAUGAAUAUUUACAUCGAAUUUUUUGAUCACCUAAAACUUGAAUCAAGUUAAAGAUUUAUAAGAUUUUUUGACAUGAUAAGCAUGAUAUUUCAAUUCUGAUUUUUUCAGAGGUGUUUUAUGAAGAGAAUGUUAGUGGAUAUUAACUCUCUGGAAUAUUAUAAUGUGUAUUUUUGAAGUGAUGCAUGUUGCAUUUUUUCUAGGAAAAUGAAAUCAAUUACUUGUGAAGUUAUUUAACUUUCGAGGUUGUUAAACUACUUAUUAAAUUUACAUCAUCAUCGAAUAUCUACUAAUUUUUAAUUUCGUGUGAAUUUACUAUUUACAUUUGAUUUAAAAAUAAUAAUUAGUCACGAGUAAAAACAUUGCGAAUUCUAUUUUUAUAUAUGAAAGAUACAUAUAAAUAUAUAUACAUAACAAGUUGCAAAUUGAAUAUGCAAAAUGCAUAAAAACAUUUCCAUUUUUAAAAAAAUUUAAGAGAAAAAUAUGGAUGUAAAAAAUUAAUAUUCAAUUGAAAAAGAUUCUCUCUAAUGUAAUAUUCACAUUUAUAAUAUUAGAUAUAACUAUCAAUAUUUAAUAUAUAUUUAUCUAAUAGAUGAUUAUAAUCAAAAUGAUAUAAGCAAAAAUGAUAAGUUUUCAACGGAAGUUCUUUUUUAUUAAGUUUUAGAAAUAAUCUUUAUCAGCAUAAGCAUCUUGAAUAACGUGUUUGUUUUUUAUGUUCGAUAUAACGAAUACAAGUGGAUUGCAUUUAUUAUAAAAAUAUUUAACUGAUAGCACGUGAAAUUCUUUAUAUAGAAAAAUCAUACAUUGUAUAUAAUUUUGUAUUAUAAUUUGAUACUAUAAACCAUAAUUAUAACAUAAAUAUGUAUCAUUUCUUCGUCAUUGAAUGAACAUUGACGAAUAAACUUAUAUUAUAUAAACAGUUCCUGGGGAAUUUCAAAUUAUUUCUAUAUAUAAUAUUGUGAAUUAAUGAGUCAGACAAAAAAAAAAGAUAUAAAAAAUUUAAAGUUGUAACGAAGUAUCUUUGAUUCGAAGAAUGUAUAAAUUUAUCGAUCAAUGACGAAAUAUAAUUUUCUUGAAAUAAAACGAAUAACAUAUAUUCUUAAGCCAUUAAUUAAAUUUCUAUCGCAAAUAAUUUUACUUAUAAUAGAUCUGACAAUUUAUAAGCUAACUUAUUAGCAGUAUAAAUCUAAUUCCAAAUGAUUUUAUAAUCAUUUAGUACCGCGGUAUUUUAGAGAAAAAUUAUAAUUCUUUUUUAUUUGUUUUUUAUAUUAUUUUUUAGAAUCGAUAAUUUUAUACAUUAUUUUACAAUUUGUAAUAUCACGUAAAAAGCCUGAAAAUUGAAUUAAACUAAUUGACUAAUUGUUAAUGCAGAACUUAUUUAUUUGAAAGUCGAAAUAACAUAAAUAAAUGCAAAAACUCUAGUAUUUCAGAUUUUUAGAAAGCGAUGAAAAAUAAUAUUUUCAAUAUAUAUCAUUCGUAUUACAAAAUACAAAGAUAAGUAGCGCACAAUGUGCUAAAAAUUAGACAAUUGAAUGAUUCCAUGAACUUAAUUUAAAAUUAUAUAAAAGUCAUGUGCAGCCAUUAGUUUCUUGUUCUAGAUCUGAAACAUGCAAUGGCAGACUACUGAUUAUCAUAAUACCAGCAAUAUCUUCCGAAUUUUCUUUUUCGAUUAAAAUAAUAACAAUAAAUGUUUGAAGAUAUUUCUCUUGUAAAUUUAAAUUUUCUUUAAACAACAUUAUCAAAUAAUACAUUAUCUUUUUUUUACUAUAAUUAUAUGAAAUAUCCUUUCUCUUUUCAUUGUUACAAAUAAUUACUCAGACAACCAGAAGAUUCAUUUGAAAAAUGAGAAACAGAUUCAUAAUAUUCCAUUGUAUCAAUUGAUAAUUAUCAGAAUUGUAUCAUAUCAAAUCCUCUAUAUAAUUGGUCAGUUGCCGCUAAAAGACAACUAAAUCUAAAUGUCAUCGUACGUCGAGCAGCAAACGAGUUGCAUUACCAUAAUCUCAUCACAAGGACAAGAUUAUAGCCGCGUUUCUAUUCUGCUAAUUCCACAUGGAAUUGUUAAUGUUAAACAUUUUUGCUUGAAACGCGACCUUCCGGAAUUUAAUCUUUUUUAUGAAUAUUAUAUUCGUUUCAAUUAAGCAUUACACGAGUGUCACACGUUGAGGCUAACUUAUGUGAUACUUGACACACUGGAACCAACGAUAACGAGCCACCUGGAACGAGACUAACGAGCAUCUCACAUUUCGUAUGAUGUAUUCUGCCAUUACUGACAUAGUACACGUGAUACAUACAACCAUGUUAGAUAAGUCACUACUUGUAUUAUUCGUCUUCACUAUAGGGGACUUCUUUCUGCGAAGAAAUCGGUCGAACCUCUUCUAAUUAUUUGACUUUGAUUAGAUCUCGAUUGUUCGUACCCAAUGCCUCGGAAGUAACAUAACCGAUUGUGAUAAUAAGUCAAUAGAAUUGAGUCAUAAAUCAUAAUUGAUUUUCUAGCUGGUAACAUUUUAUAUUAAUUGUGUCGUUCCAGAUAAUAUAUUAUUAAAAAAUAUAUUAGAAAAAUGGUUGAUAUCAAUUAUUAUCGCUCAAGUUGAAACAUAUGGUUAAACCAAGCAAAAAAAUUGAAUGAAAUAAUCAUAAUCAUAUUUAUAUUAAAUAUUUAAUGUACAGAGUACGCAGAGAAUGUCUUAGUCAGAGAAUGUUAUUUUUAAUUUAAUCAUUAAUCAUUGAUUUAAUCAUCGAAUAUUUUUAAAUCAUUUAUUUAAUAUAAUCAAUAUAUAUAUUUAAUAUUAUCAGUUAAUAUCUAUUAGAAAGACUUUGCGGAUUAUGUUUAUAAUGGCAUACUGGUUUUGAAUAAUUUAUUUUCAGAAAUAAAAUCUUCUAGUAAAGUUCGAUCUCCAAUUUCUUGUUUCUUAUCUUAACUUAAGAUAAUAUAACAUGAAAUAAUGAAAUGAUAAUAGAAUUAUUUGAAUAUAAUAAAAAUCAGUUAUGCAACAUUUUAUUUUAUAAUGUAGAUUGAACAUUUCCAUUUAAAGUUUAUCAUCAGAAAUAUCAUGUUUAUCAAUUAUUGUUCUCAAUUAUUCUAUUGCAUAUUAAAUUAUUUUCUUCCUUUAUGUAUUUUAUAUUUUGAAAAUGUCGAUGAAAUAAAUAUACAUAGUACAUGUAUACUAUAUUUUAAAUAGAGUAUUAACUCGAUAAAAAGAUAGUCUACAUGACAUUCCGUUUCUAGAUACCAUCUUCCUUCUACGGCCCUUCUUGUCACAUUGACUUAUGCUCGUUGGACCGCACAUUUCAAUCUCGCUUCAGAACGUUUUCUCAUGCUAAUUUCGAUGCAGCCCGUUUUCAUCUCGCACGAUGCUCACGUACACCAUCUAAAUCAGUUGUUUGCGGAACAGCGUGCGAAAUAUUCUAUAUCAAUGUACCGUAUAUCUCUGAUUAUUAAUAAUAACUUAUAUAUCUGUCAGAUAAAUUGUUUCACAUUAAUAUUUUCUAAAUGUGUUGCUUCAAAUGAUUGCUUCUUCUGUUUCUGUCUUUUCUUUUUUUUUUUUUAAUUUUUGAUUCAAUAACGAUUUCGUAAUAUUUAAUUUUAAAAGUAUAAGCUUUGAAACUUCCAGAAUUUAAUCAAUCAUCGAUUAUAAAUUAUCAGCGAAGUUUAGAUUUGAAUUUGAACAUUUAGAUUGUACAUAAAUAUUCGUACGUGUAAUCUAUUGAAAGAUGUAAAUAUUGAUUAUUGAUAUUUUUGUAUCUUCAAAAGUAUAUAUAAAAAUUAUUGAUUAUGAAUACAAAUAUAAUCGAAAAUGGAUUUACCUUUAGUAGGAAUUUAAUGAAUGAGAUUUAAUCUAAUCUCUAAAUAUAUUUUUAAAAAACGAACUUUUUCUUUAGUUUUUAGAGAUGUAGAGACAAAGAUGCGAGAUUUUAUCUCUUUUUCUCACAAAUUAUUCGAUUUUGUUUCACCAAAUGAAGGCAUGUCGAUAUUUGCAAACCAUUUCACGUGCUCCAUUGUGUUUCUUUAAUUUUAUUAUUAGGUUUCGUAGCACGCGCAAACGCAUAACACAUGCGAAAUGAAAAUAGAUUCAUUGCGCCUCUGUUACCAUGGCCUUCGUUGCAUAUUUGCUUACAAGGUGCGUCUUAAAAGCAUUGUAAACACCGCAUAGUCUACCUACCAGUUGAUUGCGUAUCUCGUUUGCUGCGGAAAGAAUCAGUUAGAGUAGAACUUCAUUUAUUCAUAUCUUACUUACUAAAAUCAUAUUUCUAAUCUAUUAUCAUUAUAAUUACAUGAAUAUUACAUUCAAGCAAAUAUAUAUUUAUCACUUAAAAAAUAGAAAAAAAUAAUGUUAUAAAAAAAAUAUAAAUUUAUAAUUUAUAAAUUUGCACACAAAAUUUAGAUAAUAUAUAUAUAUAUAUAUAUAUAUAUAUAUAUAUAUAUAAAUUAUAAAUUAUUAUAACAUAAAAUAUAUAAUUCAUUAUUUAGAAAGAAUUGAUUGUAUUAUCAUAUUUUAUGUUUAUAUAUGUGCAAUGGUUAUAAAACGGAAAAUCGUGAGCAAUAGAAAAAUUUUUAUUUAUAUCAAAUUAUCCAAUCUGUUUUGUCUCAGUAUAUAUUCUGAUAAAUAAAACUAAUUUUUCUUUGAAAAAAAA
Long non-coding RNA from Apis cerana (Asiatic honeybee), 5844 nucleotides. RefSeq lists it as uncharacterized. The record is from RefSeq and is a predicted model, not a curated record. Lineage: Eukaryota; Metazoa; Arthropoda; Insecta; Hymenoptera; Apidae.